UUUUGGACAAUGGGCGAAAGCCUGAUCCAGCAAUGCCGCGUGAGUGAAGAAGGCCUUCGGGUUGUAAAGCUCUUUUGUCAGGGAAGAAACGGUAGAGGCUAAUAUCCUUUGCUAAUGACGGUACCUGAAGAAUAAGCACCGGCUAACGACGUGCCAGCAGCCGCGGUAAUACGUAGGGUGCAAGCGUUAAUCGGAAUUACUGGGCGUAAAGCGUGCGCAGGCGGUUGUGCAAGACAGAUGUGAAAUCCCCGGGCUCAACCUGGGAAUUGCAUUUGUGACUGCACGGCUAGAGUGUGUCAGAGGGGGGUAGAAUUCCACGUGUAGCAGUGAAAUGCGUAGAGAUGUGGAGGAAUACCGAUGGCGAAGGCAGCCCCCUGGGAUAACACUGACGCUCAUGCACGAAAGCGUGGGGAGCAAACA
Molecule: ribosomal RNA, 420 nt
Filed under: uncultured bacterium
Lineage: Bacteria
Description: bacterial SSU rRNA
Rfam family: Bacterial small subunit ribosomal RNA
Source: RNAcentral